RNAcentral lists this unclassified non-coding RNA (348 nucleotides) under soil metagenome. Its description in RNAcentral is "partial contains 5.8S ribosomal RNA, internal transcribed spacer 2, and large subunit ribosomal RNA". The stretch from base 1 to 120 matches the Rfam family "5.8S ribosomal RNA", at positions 35 to 154 of the family's 154-position model. The record is from RNAcentral.
GAUGAAGAACGUAGCGAAAUGCGAUAAGUAAUGUGAAUUGCAGAAUUCAGUGAAUCAUCGAAUCUUUGAACGCACAUUGCGCCCGCCAGUAUUCUGGCGGGCAUGCCUGUCUGAGCGUCAUUUCAACCCUCAUGCCCCUAGGGCGUGGUGUUGGGGAUCGGCUAAAGCCCGCGAGGGACGGCCGGCCCCUAAAUCUAGUGGCGGACCCGUCGUGGCCUCCUCUGCGAAGUAGUGAUAUUCCGCAUCGGAGAGCGACGAGCCCCUGCCGUUAAACCCCCAACUUUCCAAGGUUGACCUCAGAUCAGGUAGGAAUACCCGCUGAACUUAAGCAUAUCAAUAAGCGGAGGA